GGCGAGUGAAGCGGGAAAAGCUCAAAUUUGAAAUCUCCCUUUGGGGCGAAUUGUAGUUUAUAGAAGUGUUUUCUGGGAUAGCCCGGGUGUAGGUCCUUUGGAACGAGGCACAUAGAGGGUGAGAAUCCCGUGCCGCCUGGCGUCUAUUCCUUUGUGAUACACUUUCUACGAGUCGGGUUGUUUGGGAUUGCAGCCCAAAAGGGUGGUAAAUACCAUCUAAAGCUAAAUAUUGGCGAGAGACCGAUAGCGAACAAGUACCGUGAGGGAAAGAUGAAAAGAACUUUGAAAAGAGAGUUAAACAGUACGUGAAAUUGCCAAAAGGGAAGCGCUUGGAACCAGUGUUGCAAUCCGUAAUCAGCCAGUCUUAGACUGGUGCACUUGCGGUGAGCAGGUCAGCAUCAGUUUAGUCUGGGCUAAAAAGCUUGCGACGUCCCUUCGGGGUCUGCGUUUGUUAUGGCCUGGACAGACUGAGGUCCGCUUUCACAGGAUGCUGACAAAAUGGUUUCAAACGACCCGUCUUGAAACACGGACCAAGGAGUCUAACAAAUACGCGAGUAUUCGGGUGGCAAACCCUUAUGCGCAAUGAAAGUGAAAUUGGUGGGAACCUCGGUGCACCAUCGACCGGUCUGGAUUUUUUUGAUAGAUCUGAGUAAGAGCGUAUCUGUUAGGACCCGAAAGAUGGUGAACUAUGCCUGAAUAGGGUGAAGCCAGAGGAAA
This 717-nucleotide ribosomal RNA is filed under the name Allochytridium luteum. RNAcentral's name for it is "eukaryotic LSU rRNA". It matches the Rfam family "Eukaryotic large subunit ribosomal RNA", at positions 88 to 861 of the family's 3401-position model. The record is from RNAcentral. Lineage: Eukaryota; Fungi; Chytridiomycota; Chytridiomycetes; Cladochytriales; Septochytriaceae.